ACAACCGCCGGGGAACCGCCCCAAACCAAGCCCCCGGAAAGAAGCAACUGAGACCCAACACCACACGGCCCUGAAACACCCAACCCUGCACACAGUCGGUGGUGGGGCCCUGGGGCCAGUGCUCAGCCCCCUGUGGCAGUGGUGUCCAGCGGUGCCUGAUCAAGUGUGUCAACACCCAGACGGGGCUGCCCGAGGAAGACAGCGACCAGUGUGGCCACAAGGCCUGGCCUGAGAGCUCCCAGCCGUGUGGCACCGAGGAUUGUGAGCCUGUCGAGCCUCACCAUGAGUCCCCUGACCCCAGGAUCUCUGCUGAAACUGUGAGCGGGACCCCGUCUUUCGGGUUCUGCGAGACGCUGCACCUACUGGACGGCUGCCAGCUGCCCACCAUCCACACCAGUGCUGCUGCUCAUGCUCUCUGCCCAGCCAUGGUGCCCCCUCCUGAGGCCAUCAGUGGGUCACCACCCACCGCUGACGUUGCCAGGAUGCACAGACCAACUGACAGACCUCAGUGCCCACAACGGGCUGUGGAGAAGCUCUCGCCCCCUGCGCCCUAAUGGUGCUAACCCUCUCCCUACCCAGCGGCAGGCUGGGGAACCUCCUCCCCCUCAA
Molecule: long non-coding RNA, 609 nt
Organism: Cercocebus atys (sooty mangabey)
Lineage: Eukaryota; Metazoa; Chordata; Mammalia; Primates; Cercopithecidae
Source: Ensembl